GUGUGGCAACGUGCGAUCUUCUGGGGAUUUUCCGUGCUCAUCUGGCGACUGGGAAAUUUUUUGCUCCUCCCUCACCGGACCCUAAUCAAUGUAUCUUUAUACAGGUGAGCUAAGGGAGUUUGUGCCGAGGGAAUCUAUGCUGAGUAUUAAUACAUUUGUCCACUGCUCUACCACAUAUACUCAUUAGAUGUCUUCUCACCUUCUUCCACACGGGGGAAUUGCUCGCUCCUUUAAGAGGUGGUGAUGUGCAAAAAACCAAUAUUGGCGUGCCGGUGUUAUGUGGAUAAAGGAGGUGGUGCAAGAUGUAAAUUGAAAUGGUGCAAAAAGCAACGAGACAAAUCAAGUCAGAUGCUAAUGGUUUCAUUGCAUUUUAUUCACUUAAUUAAUUAUUUAAUGUAAAUUCAAUGUACAAUCAUUUUUAUUUUAUAACUUAAAUAUAUCUACUCUAAAUCGAUUUGUUGGAUUUUCUCUGCGCGCUGUGUCUGUGUUUUUGUUUUAAUUUUCUUUUCUUGCAUUUUGUCCUCCUCUGUGAAACCAUUUAUUAAGUUUUUAGAAGAUUAAGAAGAGAGAGAUACAUGUGGGUUAAAUUACAAAGAAUUUCCUUAAACACUAAUAGACUUUUAAAAUUUAUACUACAUAUUUCUUCAUUAUCUUCUCCUUCAAUAUAAUAACACUUAACACUUUCAACUACGAUCAUUCUAUGUUGGCUUCUUGCUGCCUCACAUUUUCUAAUUGAUCAUCAUUUAGGUGCGGUCUCAACUAAUUAAAUAAUAACAUUAUUUUCUUCUCUUUUUUUCUUUUACGCUGUAUUUACAAAAUUCUUUAUUUAUUCUACCAGAAAUAUCGUCUAAAUUUCCACAAACUCACACACACACGUACACGUCUUAUUUUCCUCAUACCGAACACACUUUCUAAUAUUUGCUAAAGAUGGUUUUUGCUGUGAAGAGAAAAAGGAACAAAGUCAAAAUACUCCAGACACUCUAUUGGAUAAUUUAUAGAAUGAUAUUUAAUUCAAAUUCAAUUAAUAUUUGAAGGACACCAGAGAUAUAUUUUUAGAAUGAAUUAUUUUUCAAAAUUGAUUCUCUCUCGUUUUUUUUUGUUUCAAACUUCUUCCAUUGAUCCCUUUGAUUGAAAUUGCAUGCAAAAGGACUUUAUUCACACUAGUCGAACUCAAAGAUAUUUUUCAGAAUAUUUUUAGAAUUAUUUUUAGAAUUAUUUUUUAUUAAAUAAAUGGAACAAGCUUGGACUUCCGGUAGGAUAAGUUGUGGUAGAAAGAACUGAAGGCAGGGACGUAGCCAUGAGAAGAUCUUUUGGUGUGGUGGGAAAACUCGUUUCACCGUCUUUAGGUGUCUAUUUAAAUAUCCUAUGAUUUUUCUAAAAGUCAAAUAGAACUAUUUUAAAGAUAAAAACCAAAAGAAAAUUUUUCAAUUAUUAGAAAAAUAUUAAAAGUUAGAAAAAAAACUUCAAGCAUUAAAGUAAAUGUCAAUCAAUAAAGACGCGUCAAAUGAUGGAAUUUAAUCAACUGUCAAAAGUUUCAAACACAGCAAUCAAUAUAAAUCUUUUACGAUAAAAAAGAAACGUCAAGUGUCAGAAUUGAAGAAAUUGUUAAAACUUGAUAAAUACAAUGCAAUUUUCUACUCAAUAUUUAUACACGUUGACUGCUGAUUUACUUUUUUAACCCUUCUCGUCCAAGUGAAACAUUGAAACAUACGCUCUUUUACCCCUAGGAGGAUCCACGAUUCUAACAUCAAAACUUUAACCUUAAUUUCCUCUUAGAGAGAAAAUUUUUUCCGAGUUUUCUUUCAACGAAUUUGAAGUAAUUGGAAUUCCCUAAAACAUGUAAAAUUUAUGGCGAAAUGUUAAAUAGAUUUUUAAUUUCUGACAAUUUAAAAAAACAUUGAAUUGGCCACGGUGGCCAGCAAAAUUCUCUAAGACUUAAACAUUUGCGAUAAACAAUUAAGGUAAAAUACCUUCUUUGGUCUCAUUCGCUUAAAUUCAAUUUGGAAAAACAAUUUAAUUUAUAAAAAUUUAGAAAAAUGUUUCACGUGUCUACAGACAAAAGAAUCUUAAACACUCUUUCGAAUAGAUUUCUGGCAACGCCCCUGACAGAAAGGACUUUAUUCACUUUAGUGUUAGCUGUUCUUGCCAAAAAUAUUUUUAAAAAAAUGUUUCAAAGCUCAGUGAAACAUUAGCUUGAAUGUUUCACGCGUUUAAAGAAACAAAAAAACAUAGUGACGUCAUUUGUUGUGUUACCGUAAUAUCUCUGCCGACUUUUCCUAAUUAAUUCCGAUGGAAAAUCUUGAGGACUUUUUUUGGAUGUUCUUUUAUAGAUUCUUUUAAUCAAGAAAUAUUCACAGGGUGUCUGGAAUAUCUUGGGUAUUGGAAGGAAUAUUAAAUAUUUCAUGGGGAUAUAAUUAAACUAUAAAACUUGAAAUUAAAUUACAAAAAAAAGAAGAAAAAAACAGUCUUGUGUGUUAAAAUAUUCUCUUAUUUUUCAAUGCACUAAAAAUAUAUCUUCCAUUGGAUGUUUGAGUGUGAAAAGAUCGAUAAUUGAUUGAAAAUUUAAUGAGCAUAAUACAUUGGAAUUGCGUGUCGCAUUGUGGUAAUUAAUAUGGUGCUCUAGUUGGGCAAUUGAGAGGGAAAAUGUCACACUUUUCCACAUCAAUAUAUAUAUUUUUUCCUCCAUCUUUUUAAUUCCAACUUUAUUUCAAACUAAAAAAAACCUCACAAUUACUAUUGGUGGGUGACCUCACCCAGGUACGCCCCACAGCUCAUUUCCUUUGACCUUUUUUUUCCUUCCCAUGUGCACCCUGUAUUGGACUUUGGCGCAUUGAAUUGCGCUAAAUUGGACACCACUCCAUGAGAUAAUUAUGCCAGUUUAGUCACUCCUUUGUAAUUAGUAUAUUUUUAGCUGUGUUUCUUUCAGACACAGCUUUUGUGUACCGAGCAAAAUCGAAAGUCGUCAGAUCGGGCUCAAACUUGGGAUGAGCACGAAUUAGGGUCCCCACAUUCCAAAAAACGUAUGCGCCAAAAAAAUUUUUUUCCGGCCGGCCGGCCGUCCGGCCGUCCGGCCGGCCGGAGUAUAACGUUAAAUUGCGAGAGAACGGUGAUAGAUAGAGACUUGCGGUAAACGGCAAAGUUUAAAUAUCGACCGGAAGACGUCCGAUUAUGACGUCAAAUUUUACCCCCCACCCCCCCG
Molecule: long non-coding RNA, 3199 nt
Organism: Lutzomyia longipalpis
Lineage: Eukaryota; Metazoa; Arthropoda; Insecta; Diptera; Psychodidae
Exons: 3
Source: RefSeq, a predicted model, not a curated record